CCUACGGGUGGCAGCAGUGAGGAAUAUUGGUCAAUGGGCGGGAGCCUGAACCAGCCAAGCCGCGUGAGGGAAGAAGGUACAGCGUAUCGUAAACCUCUUUUGUCAGGGAACAAAGGCGGGGACUAGUCCCCGGAUGAGGGUACCUGAAGAAAAAGCAUCGGCUAACUCCGUGCCAGCAGCCGCGGUAAUACGGAGGAUGCGAGCGGUAUCCGGAUUUAUUGGGUUUAAAGGGUGCGCAGGCGGCCUGUUAAGUCAGCGGGAAAAGCCCGGGGCUCAACCCCGGCGAGCCGUUGAAACUGGCGGGCUGGAGUUGGAGAGAAGUACGCAGAAUGCGCGGUGUAGCGGUGAAAUGCUUAGAUAUCGCGCAGAACCCCGAUUGCGAAGGCAGCGUACCGGCUCCACACUGACGCUGAGGCACGAAAGCGUGGGUAUCGAACAGGAUUAGAUACCCCAGUAGUC
RNAcentral lists this ribosomal RNA (459 nucleotides) under uncultured bacterium. RNAcentral describes it as "partial 16S ribosomal RNA". It matches the Rfam family "Bacterial small subunit ribosomal RNA", at positions 338 to 795 of the family's 1533-position model. The record is from RNAcentral.